CCCCAAAUUCCUCAGUCAUGUGGGAUGGAUAUUUUACAAAAGUGAACAAAUGCUUAGAGGUUCCACAGACGCUAACAAACACAGAUUCAUUUUACCCAAUUUAGAUUCUGAUGGGUGGAUGCAAGCUUUACAAAUUCUAAAUACACAAUGCACAUUCCCCUGGGGAAAAUGAAUACAUUUCUGUUAACGUGUCUCUAUUUAUCAUUUACAUAUGUACAUGCAUCCCUAAUGUGCCCCUUCCCCCCUUUUCCUUCGACCUUCACCUGUGGCUGAGUAGUGAACACACCGUCUAUUUCAUUCAAACCUUUCUGUUCCUGCCCGAGCACUCACUGCCUCUUCAACGACUGUACAUCGAUAGUACAUGACAGCUCAGAGCAGAGUCUUUAAGUUCAGUUUAUGCCUAUUUGUGUCUACAAAGUGGGAACGAAUACGUGGUAGUGCAUCUUUGAAAAAGGAUAUACAAGUGAACUACAGACAAACGCUAUAGAACUUGAACCCACGUUUUCCUGUUGGGAGUUCUAAGUAUUUAAAUUGUCAACGACAAACAUCAUUUUUGUACAUAAUUCUACACCAAGAACAACAGGGAAAAAACCCCAAAAACUAAAAACUAAUAUUGCAAAUCAUAAAAAAAUAACUUAAAAUGGAAACAUUUUUCAAUGGUGAUGUUUCAUCCAACAAAACACUUCCCAAACAGUAUUCAAUUGUACAGAUGUCAGCCUUCUUCAACAGUCUUUGAGUAACAUCAGUAUCUCGGAAAUGUCGUUACAAACAUCAUAAAUACUGACAAUUAUUCAAGCGGGCCAUUUUGAUUUAAAAACAAAAAAGAAAUCUUAUAGAAAAUCAAUCUUGUACACAUGAACGUUGUUAACCUUCACUAAGCUGCUGAUAUAAAAGUUUGAUUGGAAUUUUACUGAAAUGUACAUUUUCUGUAAGAAUUGAAUGCAUUGAUGGGUAUUGAGAUAAUAUAUAUUUUCAUUAUAUAAUUGAAUUAAAAAGUAAAAAUCUAUAAAUAUAUAACAUUCUAACACUUUCUUCAUUGUUUGCGGUGUAAUAACUAUGAUAUUACUUGUAAACAAAUUGCUAAAAGUGAAACACUGUACAUUUGAUUAAAUUCUAUGGGUAACAAUUUAAAAAUGGGCUUGUCAAAAUAGGUUUGGGCCACCUUCUCAAAUCAGGGUGCAUAACUUUGGUAAUCCAUGGACAUCUUGUGAUAAAUGUACACAUUUUUGUAAAUUUUUACAAUUGUAACAACAGAAACAAACAAAUAAUUACCAUUAUAUGAACAAUAUAUUGUGCAUUAUAAAAUAAAACUUUAACACAACAGUUCAUGAAUAAAAGGCUGAAUUAAAA
This is a long non-coding RNA of Sinocyclocheilus grahami, 1350 nucleotides long. RefSeq lists it as uncharacterized. The record is from RefSeq and is a predicted model, not a curated record. NCBI's taxonomy places the organism in Eukaryota, Metazoa, Chordata, Actinopteri, Cypriniformes, Cyprinidae. The transcript has 2 exons.